AAAAAAGGUAAGCUACUAAGAGCGAAUGGUGGAUGCCUUGACUGGUAAAGGCGAUGAAGGACGUACUAGACUGCGAUAAGCUACGGGGAGCUGUCAAGAAGCUUUGAUCCGUAGAUUUCCGAAUGGGGCAACCCAAUGUAUAGAGAUAUACAUUACCUAUAUAGGAGCGAACGAGGGGAAUUGAAACAUCUUAGUACCCUCAGGAAAAGAAAUCAAUAGAGAUUGCGUCAGUAGCGGCGAGCGAAAGCGCAAGAGGGCAAACCCAGUGCUUGCACUGGGGGUUGUAGGACUGCAAUGUGCAAGAGGUGAGUUUAGCAGAACAUUCUGGAAAGUAUAGCCAUAGAGGGUGAUAGUCCCGUAUGCGAAAAACAAACCUUAGCUAGCAGUAUCCUGAGUAGGGCGGGACACGAGAAAUCCUGUCUGAAGCUGGGUCGACCACGAUCCAACCCUAAAUACUAAUACCAGAUCGAUAGUGCACAAGUACCGUGAGGGAAAGGUGAAAAGAACUGAGGUGAUCAGAGUGAAAUAGAACCUGAAACCAUUUGCUUACAAUCAUUCAGAGCCCUAUGUAGCAAUACAGGGUGAUGGACUGCCUUUUGCAUAAUGAGCCUGCGAGUUGUGGUGUCUGGCAAGGUUAAGCAAACGCGAAGCCGUAGCGAAAGCGAGUCUGAAUAGGGCGCUUAGUCAGAUGCUGCAGACCCGAAACGAAGUGAUCUAUCCAUGAGCAAGUUGAAGCUAGUGUAAGAACUAGUGGAGGACUGAACCCAUAGGCGUUGAAAAGCCCCGGGAUGACUUGUGGAUAGGGGUGAAAGGCCAAUCAAACUUCGUGAUAGCUGGUUCUCUCCGAAAUAUAUUUAGGUAUAGCGUUGUGUCGUAAUAUAAGGGGGUAGAGCACUGAAUGGGCUAGGGCAUACACCAAUGUACCAAACCCUAUCAAACUCCGAAUACCUUAUAUGUAAUCACAGCAGUCAGGCGGCGAGUGAUAAAAUCCGUCGUCAAGAGGGAAACAACCCAGACUACCAGCUAAGGUCCCUAAAUCUUACUUAAGUGGAAAACGAUGUGAAGUUACUUAAACAACCAGGAGGUUGGCUUAGAAGCAGCCAUCCUUUAAAGAAAGCGUAAUAGCUCACUGGUCUAGUGAUUUUGCGCGGAAAAUAUAACGGGGCUAAAGUAAGUACCGAAGCUGUAGACUUGCGCACAACUUAGAUUAUUUAAGUUUAGAAUAUGAGAAACUAAGUUAUAUGUUUAGUUAUAUUUUUACUGAUUUUUAUAGAGUAAAGAUAGAAAUAAAACUUAGUAAAAUCAGUAAAAAUAUUCUUAGACUAAAGUUAAGUAGUUUAAGUUGUGUGCAAGUGGUAGGAGAGCGUUCUAUUUGCGUCGAAGGUAUACCGGUAAGGAGUGCUGGAGCGAAUAGAAGUGAGCAUGCAGGCAUGAGUAGCGAUAAUUAAUGUGAGAAUCAUUAACGCCGUAAACCCAAGGUUUCCUACGCGAUGCUCGUCAUCGUAGGGUUAGUCGGGUCCUAAGUCGAGUCCGAAAGGGGUAGACGAUGGCAAAUUGGUUAAUAUUCCAAUACCAACAUUAGUGUGCGAUGGAAGGACGCUUAGGGCUAAGGGGGCUAGCGGAUGGAAGUGCUAGUCUAAGGUCGUAGGAGGUUAUACAGGCAAAUCCGUAUAACAAUACUCCGAGAACUGAAAGGCUUUUUGAAGUCUUCGGAUGGAUAGAAGAACCCCUGAUGCCGUCGAGCCAAGAAAAGUUUCUAAGUUUAGCUAAUGUUGCCCGUACCGUAAACCGACACAGGUGGGUGGGAUGAGUAUUCUAAGGCGCGUGGAAGAACUCUCUUUAAGGAACUCUGCAAAAUAGCACCGUAUCUUCGGUAUAAGGUGUGGUUCGCUUCGUAUUAGGAUUUACUCCGAAAGCGAAGAAACUUACAACAAAGAGUCCCUCCCGACUGUUUACCAAAAACACAGCACUCUGCUAACUCGUAAGAGGAUGUAUAGGGUGUGACGCCUGCCCGGUGCUCGAAGGUUAAUUGAUGGGGUUAGCAUUAGCGAAGCUCUUGAUCGAAGCCCGAGUAAACGGCGGCCGUAACUAUAACGGUCCUAAGGUAGCGAAAUUCCUUGUCGGUUAAAUACCGACCUGCAUGAAUGGCGUAACGAGAUGGGAGCUGUCUCAAAGAGGGAUCCAGUGAAAUUGUAGUGGAGGUGAAAAUUCC
Molecule: ribosomal RNA, 2212 nt
Filed under: Campylobacter coli
Lineage: Bacteria; Pseudomonadati; Campylobacterota; Epsilonproteobacteria; Campylobacterales; Campylobacteraceae
Description: partial 23S ribosomal RNA
Rfam family: Bacterial large subunit ribosomal RNA
Source: RNAcentral